Spinacia oleracea (spinach) is the source of this 1371-nucleotide long non-coding RNA. RefSeq lists it as uncharacterized. The record is from RefSeq and is a predicted model, not a curated record. The transcript has 4 exons. Lineage: Eukaryota; Viridiplantae; Streptophyta; Magnoliopsida; Caryophyllales; Amaranthaceae.
UUACAUUUUAAUAUUUUCAACGAUUUACGAAAUUGAAAAUGAUUUUAGAAUUUUAAGUUAAAACGAAUUCGAAUUACGAAAACACGGUCGAUUGAAUUUAGAAAACAAUCCUAAUCAUUUUGGAUUCAAACAACCUUAAAUCCUACUCCUAGCCCAAUUGGGAAAAGCCCAAACCAAAAACAAAAAUUAAACCCAAACCAAUACUCCCUCUCUCUUUUCAAAUUCACGUGGAAACAAGGCAAACCAAAACCCCUCCAUCCUCCUUCAACCUCACGCACAACACCAGCAACUCCUCUCCUCUCCCUUGUCAGCCGCCGCACCACGCUCACUGCCGGACCACCACCUGCACCGACGACCACCGUCGACCCUCGUGUCAUCGCCGCCACGUUGCCGCCCAGCCUGCGUCGCUGCGCCGCCGCGUUCCUGGCCCACACCGACCAAUCCACCUCCGGUCGCAGCCACCUCGCCUAGCCGCGCCACCCAGUCCGCCGGCCAGCACUCCCCUCUCCCUCUUGAAUUGGUUAUUUCUUAAACCCUAAGUAACUAAUUAUUUUAAUUAAUUAUAAUUGUUAAUUUAAAUUAUGUUCUUGAUAAUAAAUUUAUAAUUUUUAUGGUUUGAACAUGAUUUUCAGAUUUGGGUUGAGAUUAUAAACGAAUUAAUUUUCAGUUUUUGUGAUUUAAAUUAUAAAUUUGAGAUUAUAUGGAUUUUAUAAUAAAGUUAUUAAUUUUCAGAUUAUCUAAUUACAUUGAAAUAUUGAUUUUUGAUUAUUUAAAGUAUGAAAUUCAAGGUUUUUAUGAUUAUUAAUCAUGAUGGGUUGAGUAUGGAUCAUUGAAUUGGUUAUGUUGAGAUACUAGGAACGUAGAUUGACCAUGGUGAAGCUUUUAAAUGAAAUUAUAUUGCUGAAAAUUUAAAGUACGAUGUUUGCAAAAGUUUUCAACGAAUUUCAAUCACUAAUUCAAUAAUCAUGAUUCUAGGAAAUCAAAUGUUUAAGUUUUGAUAUUGGGGAAAGUUCUAAAUAUGUUUAGGAUGCAUUUAGAAUGCUUUCUUAUGGUUGUCAAUGAUUAGGAAUUUAUUGGGAUUAUUUGUUGGUUGUUUUAGGCGGAGAAUUCUCUUUAGGCGACUUUUGAAAGUGUUAAAGUGGCCUAUCAGUUUGUUUACACAAGUCUCUAAGGAUCAAUAAGCGUUGCCCAUCUACAGGUUUGAAGAUGAUGCAUCAUUGGGAUCGGGAUUAGAGAGCUUGUAGUUCUAUUCGUUUAAUUAAGUGAUUUAAUUUGUUAACUUGGAUUGAAAUUUGUCGUACUAUUCGUAUUUCUUUAAUUCAGUUAAUUGGUUUGGACCUAAUAUGUAAUAGAUUAUUUAUGAACCUAAAA